AGACAAAUGACUUGAAGGAAGUGGU
RNAcentral lists this non-coding RNA (25 nucleotides) under Cricetulus griseus (Chinese hamster). Lineage: Eukaryota; Metazoa; Chordata; Mammalia; Rodentia; Cricetidae. The record is from RNAcentral.